GAUGAAGAACGCAGCGAAAUGCGAUAAGUAAUGUGAAUUGCAGAAUUCAGUGAAUCAUCGAAUCUUUGAACGCACAUUGCGCCCCCUGGUAUUCCAGGGGGCAUGCCUGUCCGAGCGUCAUUACAACCCUCAAGCUCAGCUUGUGUUGGGCCCCGCCGCCCCGGCGGGCCCUAAAGUCAGUGGCGGUGCCGUCCGGCUCCGAGCGUAGUAAUUCUUCUCGCUCUGGAGGUCCGGUCGUGUGCUCGCCAGCAACCCCCAAUUUUUUUCAGGUUGACCUCGGAUCAGGUAGGGAUACCCGCUGAACUUAAGCAUAUCAAUAAGCGGAGGA
This 328-nucleotide unclassified non-coding RNA is filed under the name soil metagenome. Its description in RNAcentral is "partial contains 5.8S ribosomal RNA, internal transcribed spacer 2, and large subunit ribosomal RNA". The stretch from base 1 to 120 matches the Rfam family "5.8S ribosomal RNA", at positions 35 to 154 of the family's 154-position model. The record is from RNAcentral.